Molecule: long non-coding RNA, 786 nt
Organism: Quercus robur (English oak)
Lineage: Eukaryota; Viridiplantae; Streptophyta; Magnoliopsida; Fagales; Fagaceae
Exons: 2
Source: RefSeq, a predicted model, not a curated record
ACAAAAUUGCCAAGUGGAAUCACGUAGAUAUCGAGUUUAUAAGACUCGAGAUAUGCUGAAAUAUAACAGAUACACAGCUCUUUCAACGUCUCAUUUCAAAAUCUGAAUGUUCAAACACACACUCACUCACUCACACCCUUUCUCUCCGCCCUCUCAAACUCACUCACUCUCACUCACUCACUCUCACUCACUCACUCACUGAUUCAUUCAUAAAGCAAAUUCGUGGCCCUAAUUUGAAGCAAAUUCGUAGCCACUAUCACGAAGGUAGUCUCUCAAGCAAUCGGAGCUCAUUCUCAACGCCGUUCGUAGCCCGCCGUGCCGAAGAACUAACUAGGAAUUUGUUAGAGUAAAUAUUCAUACAUGCAGGCAGCAGUGUGUGCCUAUGUAUGUAUAUCCUUGGACCCCCAAGUGGACAGGUCAGAUGAAUAUAUCACCAACUAUGCUCAAAAUCCUUGCCCAGGUACUUCAAUUUAUGCAUCUCUUAAAUUUAAUCCCCCAUAUCAAUUGACUAGUUCAAUGUGUUUAUGUGGCAAAACCUCUUUAGCUAGAGAAAAUAUUGUCAGCAUGUUAGAACGGACAAUUUGGAGGACUUGGUAGUGGUGAAAUUUGGAAAGUAGUUCCCUUUUGUAUCAAAUGGUAUAUUUGGAGAGAGGAAUGUGAAGAAUUUUGAGGGACGUGCAUUUCCCUUGAUGCAGCUGAAAUUUCUAUUUUGUAUGUUCUCACUAUAAUUGAACAUCAUAUGCAAAUUACUUUUCCAUCUCAAAUUUGUGGGAGACGUUAGCUUUU